UGAGUCAGCCGGAUGGCCGCGGCGCUCUUUCGAAAGGAAAGCGCUGAGGAAAGUCCGGGCUCCCAGGGCAGGAUGCCGGCUAACGGCCGGUGAAGGCGACUUCAAGGAAAGUGCAACAGAAAGAGACAGCCGGAUUCGUCCGGCAACGGUGGAAAGGUGAGGUAAGAGCUCACCGGUGUCGCGGCAACGCGGCAGCCAUGCAAACCCCAUCCGGAGCAACGCCGUGGAGGAACAACUGUCGCCCGCAGGUUCCAUGGAGGCGGCUUGAGUCCUUCGGCAACGAAGGAUCGAGAUAAAUGGUCAUCCAAGACAGAACCCGGCUUACAGGCUGACUCAGUCC
RNAcentral lists this RNase P RNA (340 nucleotides) under Clostridiaceae bacterium. RNAcentral describes it as "RNase P RNA component class A". It matches the Rfam family "Bacterial RNase P class A". Rfam says of the family: Ribonuclease P (RNase P) is a ubiquitous endoribonuclease, found in archaea, bacteria and eukarya as well as chloroplasts and mitochondria. The record is from RNAcentral. Lineage: Bacteria; Bacillati; Bacillota; Clostridia; Eubacteriales; Clostridiaceae.